CUGUGUCUCUCUGCAGCACUCUGUGGUAAUCCUUUGUAAGGAUCUCUGUCAGUCUUCAGAUGAAUUCAGCCCGGCUCCUGGACAAUCGCAGCACACACGCCGUCCAAAUAACACUGCAAACAGGAGCCCUUAUGAUGGAAUCUUCAUAUUUAUCUUCCUGUCCAUCAUCAUCUUCAUUUUUGUCACCUAGUUUUAUUGGGUCGUUUCUGUGUGUUUCUUGGUGACGACUUUGGAUUCUGCGUCGUGGAGAUCAAACCCAGAGAUCACAACAGACCAUAACAGAAAUAUAUCCGUCUGUUUAUAUAGAUACAACUAACAAAUCUGUCCCUCAUGAAUUAUAAAUCUGAUUAUAAA
Molecule: long non-coding RNA, 354 nt
Organism: Sinocyclocheilus anshuiensis
Lineage: Eukaryota; Metazoa; Chordata; Actinopteri; Cypriniformes; Cyprinidae
Exons: 4
Source: RefSeq, a predicted model, not a curated record